UUCCCAUCCUGAUUAGUACCUUUUGCUAAGAUGAAGUGUAAUAUCUAUUCUUAUCAGUUUAAUAGUCUACACGAUAUUAAAUUAUUAUUUUUUAUAGGGAAGGAUCUGUAUAUGUAGCUUGCUGCAUGUGUUCUUUGUGUCACCAUAGUGUUGCACUACUGCUAGGGCUUGGCGCACCCCAA
This 182-nucleotide small nuclear RNA is filed under the name Hordeum vulgare. Its description in RNAcentral is "U2 spliceosomal RNA". It matches the Rfam family "U2 spliceosomal RNA". Rfam says of the family: U2 is a small nuclear RNA (snRNA) component of the spliceosome (involved in pre-mRNA splicing). Complementary binding between U2 snRNA (in an area lying towards the 5' end but 3' to hairpin I) and the branchpoint sequence (BPS) of the intron results the bulging out of an unpaired adenosine, on the BPS, which initiates a nucleophilic attack at the intronic 5' splice site, thus starting the first of two transesterification reactions that mediate splicing. Lineage: Eukaryota; Viridiplantae; Streptophyta; Magnoliopsida; Poales; Poaceae. The record is from RNAcentral.